Molecule: long non-coding RNA, 2741 nt
Organism: Capra hircus (goat)
Lineage: Eukaryota; Metazoa; Chordata; Mammalia; Artiodactyla; Bovidae
Exons: 2
Source: RefSeq, a predicted model, not a curated record
AACUGAACUGAACUGAAGGGAACUGUGGCAGGGGACAACUCACCCAGCUCAGGAGGCUCAGGACUAUAGCCAGGGAAAUGGGGGUAACUUUGGAGAAGGGUAAGUCUAUACUCAGGAGCUAGCAUGAGCAAAGGCAGACAAUAAACAGCAUAUUUUAUAGUACUUGAUAGGAAUACAGGUGGGAAAUGUCUAGGAAGUUUGCUAUUAUGGGAACAUAAAGUGCAAAGCAGAAUGUGUCAAGAAAUGAAACAGGGUGUAAGCAAGGCUUUGUAUUCCAUGUGUGAUUAGUAAGAUGUGUUUACAGGAUUCUGGGUACAGAUUCAGCUGUCACGCUUCUUUCUCACAUAUCUGAAUGUAGUACAUUUAAGGGCCUUCCCUCACCUUUCCAAAACUGGUCCUGAAAAUGGAGCCACUUUUGCUCCCAAAGCUGGUUGGAAAAUCAGUCCACUGCUGGUGCUCUUUCUUACUGCCACAUGGCUCUCAUCUUGAGGACUGAUCUUCCCAAUCCCACAGAAGCUUGGUGACUGGACAGUGAUGCUCUGACUGAUGUGGAUCUGGACUCCUAGCUUACAUAUAUUUUAGUCUUCACCCAAAUGUGCAGUCAUUGUUCUCUAAAAUACCAUAUGUGUCGGAAGGUCUGGGUCUAGAAGAGCUCCUUGCAUCAGCCACAGCGUUGACACAGAUCAUUUACACGAAGAAACAUUCAGAAAAAUAGGAGCUUUAAACGUGAGCAAGCCUGGAAUCACCUGGUAGUUUCCAAGGAGAGUCCCUGAAUCAGCUGCAUAGAGACCUCCUCUCUCUCUGGCACCAUCUGUAACAGGUGUGCAGUAUUCUUGCUCGGAACCUUUGCUGAGGAUGCUAGUGUGAGACAAGCAGCAGUGAUUCCUUAUGUAGAACCAUCCACUAAAUAGAAUGUAAAAGAUGAAAGGAAGCACCUUAGUUGAAAUCUCUUCAGCAAUAAUUCCUUACAUCAAUAUAUUGUGUUACAAUGUUUACUGUUUUUACAAAAACCUCAGGUGGGAAAAUAAGGCUCAGAGAGGGUGUGAUGAGCUCCAAGUCACACAGCUCAUUAGUGGGAGAGUUGGGACUAGCCUUCAACCAGGAUUCCCAAAACUUAGACCAGACAGGGAAACAAUGGAAAAAAAAAAAAAAAACAACCACGAAGGAGUCCACCGAAAGAGACAAAAUACCUGAAAUGAUUCAAGGACAAGAGGGUGUACAAACACACACAUGUUAUAUAUUAUGGUGCUGAUUUUAAGCAAAACUGUAAUUCACAAAAGAAAGUAAGAGGAAUGAGUGGAUUAAUAGGGAAAGGCUUCAUGGAGGUAAGACUUAAUGUGGGCCUUGAGAAUGAAAGGAUUAUACUGACCGGCAGCUGUGAGACUGCAGACAAAAGGGCCAUGUUCAUGAGUAGCUCACCAAAAGCACUUAGGAAGAGGGGAAUAUUUGUGUUAGAGUUUCUUGUGCUGCCAUGAUAUUCAUCUUAGGCUUCUGAAGGUGUUCUCCAGUACCCAGUUUCCAUCCUCCUUCUGAACUUUCAAGACCUACCCCACGUGUGUGUCCUUCUUCAUGGCCGCUUAUGACUGACACCUCUCAUCCCUCACAACAUAUUCCAUAGCCUAGGAUGGAUCCACAACCACAUGGUUCUAUCUCUGCCUGGCUUCCACAAAACACCAGAUGAGACAAAUGGAGAAAGGGAAUGCCAGGCAAGGAAAAUAUCACAGAGUCUGUGAGACUGACAGAAAAGUAGGCUUACCUCAUUAAGGUGUAGAGCUGUCUCUGGAGGCUGCUUGCUAGCUGUGUGACCCUGAAUAAGUCACUGGGAUUCUUGGAGCCUUAAGCUUUCUAAUCUGUAAAAUGGGAGUAGAUUGGCAUUAACCUUGCAGGGCUGUUGUUUCCAGCCUAGUGCCUACCCCACAGUAGGUACUGAUUAAUGGUAGCUGUUUGUAUGAGCCUGCACCUGUAAUAUAGCUGAUAUGUGUAGUCUUUGAGCUCCCAGAUUUUCUUGCUGUGUAGUUAGUGUGAACUGUGCAUUUGAACUAAAUGUGUGUGCUGAAGGUGGUAAAUCUAGUGGGGAGAGAGACACACAGUGGAAAGUGAUUGCAGACAAGAGGUCUAGCCACUCCGUGUCCUCAUCUAUCAUUGGGUACUGUUCCCUGCUGCCCUCGGAGGUAGUAACUCUCAGUUAGGAGACCCGGUCUGGCCUGAGAAUGGUCAAGAUAGCAAUUUGUUUCCAGUUUUCUCAAGUUCUUUCCUUUCGGUUGUUUAACACAUUUAUUGAGGAUUUAUUAUGUGUCAGGUGUUUUUUGCUAAGUGUUGGGUUUGCAGAGAUGAAUCUGCCUUUUGCCGUGCACCUUCCCUACCAUGUUCUCUGAUUGCGCUGGUCCCGCUGUCAGUCUGGCGAAUAUCUGAUAAAUCUCAGUCACAUUACGAACUCAAAAAUAUAAUGUUAAAUGAAAGAUUUGCACAAUCCUGUGUGUGUGUGCACAUGCACUAAUGUGUGUAUCCUGUUUGUGUACAAAAAGGAUAAAUAUAUGUGUCCAGAAUGUAUAAGGAAGGAUAUAUAUGAGAAAUUGCUAAUAAGAGUUACUUCUGGCAAGAGGAAGUUGGCAAGCAGGGGCACUGGGAGAAUAGGAAAGGAACUUUUCAUUUUCACCUUUAGUCAUCUGUUUUACUAGAUUUUUACCAUGUGCAUGUAUUACUUUUAUAAUUAAUAAACUUGGUGUUAAAAAUAAAACUCA